RNAcentral lists this small RNA (50 nucleotides) under Euglena gracilis. RNAcentral describes it as "Eg-m-Orphan12 box C/D-like small RNA". Lineage: Eukaryota; Euglenozoa; Euglenophyceae; Euglenales; Euglenaceae. The record is from RNAcentral.
UGAUGGCCAUUGCUGACAUCCUUACUGAAUCUGUUGAUCACCCAGACUGA